GCCAGGGGCUGGUGGGCACCGGCGUUCGCCCUGCUGGCGACGGGCCUGGCUGCGAAGGUCACGGGGGCGUUCGCGAUCGUGCCGCUGCUCCUGGUG
RNAcentral lists this transfer RNA (96 nucleotides) under Aquisphaera giovannonii. RNAcentral's name for it is "tRNA-Ala". Lineage: Bacteria; Pseudomonadati; Planctomycetota; Planctomycetia; Isosphaerales; Isosphaeraceae. The record is from RNAcentral.